AUUGAACGCUGGCGGCAUGCUUUACACAUGCAAGUCGAACGGUAACAGGCCGCAAGGUGCUGACGAGUGGCGAACGGGUGAGUAAUGCAUCGGAACGUGCCCAGUCGUGGGGGAUAGCUACUCGAAAGAGUAGCUAAUACCGCAUACGAUCUAUGGAUGAAAGCGGGGGACCGUAAGGCCUCGCGCGAUUGGAGCGGCCGAUGUCAGAUUAGGUAGUUGGUGGGGUAAAGGCUCACCAAGCCAACGAUCUGUAGCUGGUCUGAGAGGACAACCAGCCACACUGGGACUGAGACACGGCCCAGACUCCUACGGGAGGCAGCAGUGGGGAAUUUUGGACAAUGGGCGCAAGCCUGAUCCAGCAAUGCCGCGUGCAGGAAGAAGGCCUUCGGGUUGUAAACUGCUUUUGUACGGAACGAAACGGCUCUGGUUAAUACCCGGGGCUAAUGACGGUACCGUAAGAAUAAGCACCGGCUAACUACGUG
RNAcentral lists this ribosomal RNA (482 nucleotides) under uncultured bacterium. RNAcentral describes it as "partial 16S ribosomal RNA". It matches the Rfam family "Bacterial small subunit ribosomal RNA", at positions 30 to 507 of the family's 1533-position model. The record is from RNAcentral.